GGAGGAGAAAGAGGAGGAGGAGGCGGCUGCUGCUGCUGCUGCUGCUGCUGGCGGUGACGGCGGCGGAGCAGAAUGUUUACAUCGCUGCUGAGCCGCCAGCCCCGGCGGCGAGAGAUGCCAGCUCUAAGGUUUUGAGUCUUCUGAAACUGAAGUCUGCAAGUAGGAAAACAUCAUGAUCCCAGAGAAGAGCUUCAUUGUUUAUUCCUACCAUGAUCAAUGAUACCCCUGACUGGCUCACACCCGGAAGAAGGGAAA
Long non-coding RNA from Gekko japonicus, 255 nucleotides. RefSeq lists it as uncharacterized. NCBI's taxonomy places the organism in Eukaryota, Metazoa, Chordata, Lepidosauria, Squamata, Gekkonidae. The record is from RefSeq and is a predicted model, not a curated record. The transcript has 3 exons.